This 795-nucleotide ribosomal RNA is filed under the name Escherichia coli. RNAcentral describes it as "partial 23S ribosomal RNA". It matches the Rfam family "Bacterial large subunit ribosomal RNA", at positions 612 to 1406 of the family's 2925-position model. Lineage: Bacteria; Pseudomonadati; Pseudomonadota; Gammaproteobacteria; Enterobacterales; Enterobacteriaceae. The record is from RNAcentral.
AUAAUGGGUCAGCGACUUAUAUUCUGUAGCAAGGUUAACCGAAUAGGGGAGCCGAAGGGAAACCGAGUCUUAACUGGGCGUUAAGUUGCAGGGUAUAGACCCGAAACCCGGUGAUCUAGCCAUGGGCAGGUUGAAGGUUGGGUAACACUAACUGGAGGACCGAACCGACUAAUGUUGAAAAAUUAGCGGAUGACUUGUGGCUGGGGGUGAAAGGCCAAUCAAACCGGGAGAUAGCUGGUUCUCCCCGAAAGCUAUUUAGGUAGCGCCUCGUGAAUUCAUCUCCGGGGGUAGAGCACUGUUUCGGCAAGGGGGUCAUCCCGACUUACCAACCCGAUGCAAACUGCGAAUACCGGAGAAUGUUAUCACGGGAGACACACGGCGGGUGCUAACGUCCGUCGUGAAGAGGGAAACAACCCAGACCGCCAGCUAAGGUCCCAAAGUCAUGGUUAAGUGGGAAACGAUGUGGGAAGGCCCAGACAGCCAGGAUGUUGGCUUAGAAGCAGCCAUCAUUUAAAGAAAGCGUAAUAGCUCACUGGUCGAGUCGGCCUGCGCGGAAGAUGUAACGGGGCUAAACCAUGCACCGAAGCUGCGGCAGCGACGCUGAUGCGUUGUUGGGUAGGGGAGCGUUCUGUAAGCCUGCGAAGGUGUGCUGUGAGGCAUGCUGGAGGUAUCAGAAGUGCGAAUGCUGACAUAAGUAACGAUAAAGCGGGUGAAAAGCCCGCUCGCCGGAAGACCAAGGGUUCCUGUCCAACGUUAAUCGGGGCAGGGUGAGUCGACCCCUAAGGCGAGGCCGAA